GGGAGGAGCAGGAAGUACAGGAGGUGCGGGAUCUGGGCUCUGACAAGGAAAAGGCUUUCUCCUGGGCGUCACUAUGCAUUCUCAACAGGACAACAUCACUCCUCACCCUUAGAGGCUGAAAUUUGGUUCUUGAGAGAAAAAUAAUUGACUUUUUUUUUUUUUUGACAAGGUCUGGCUCUGUUGCCCAGGCUGAAGUGCAGUGGCAUGAUCUUGGCUCACUGCGACCUCAAACUCCCAGUUCAAGUGAUUCUCCUGCUUCAGUCUUCCGAGUAGCUGCAACCAAAGACAUAUGACACCGUGCCCAGCUAAUUUUUGUAUUUUUUAUAGACACUGUGUCUGGCUGAUCUUGAACUCCUAGGCUCAAGUGAUCCUUCCGCAUCAGCCUCCUAAAGUGCUGGAAUUACAGGCGUGAGCCAUCGUGCCUGGCUUCUGACUUCUUAAUGUAUACAACACAGAUACGCACAGGACAUAAGCAGACAUACGGUAUCUCAAUGAUAUUAAAAUGUUACAUUCACAAGGAGGGCAAUUAGGAAAAUAUGUCUAGAGAGGCUCCUUAGCAGGAUGAUGACGAAAAGAAGGUUGAGAAACACCAGGUUACACUAAAAAUUGGGAGCCCCACCUUAAACUCCUGGCUUGCCCCAGUGUUCUCUGUUUCAAGUCUCCAGGCCUUUGCUUAUGCUGUUCCUUCUGCCAGAAUGCCUUUCCCUACACACUUCCUGAAUAACCCCCUAGAGGUGUUUUAAAACUCAGGUCACUCCUCGCUACCUGCAGGAAUGCUUCCCUGGCCUGCCUCAUUCAGGGGACAUCCCCUUGCACUGUAGCUCCAUAGCCCCAUGCAGUCACAAGAGCAUUCAUUCACUCACUCAUUCAUUCAUUCAUUUGCAAAUGAUUACUCAAUGUCUACCACGCCAUGCACCGUGCUAGACGCUAAGGAUGCAAUGGAGGAAAAACAAAACAAUGACAACACUAACAACAAAAAUACAGCCCUUGCCCUACCAGAGCUUCAGUAUGUAUGGAGGCAUAGAAAGAAAGCCAAGUUCAACAAUUGAACCAAUCACUACAGGCAGCCCUGGCCAUCCCGAUGUUCAUUAUCUGAUUCAAUAACUACUGGAUUUGGGUAUGUUUUUUGAAUAAACCUCACACUAUCCAGACUGCUGCUAUUCUAUCUGAAAAUCAGGGAUCAAAAAUAUUACCAUCCAGGCCGGGCACAAUGGCUCCUGCCUGUAAUCCCAGCACUUUGGGAGGCUGAGGCAGGUGGAUCACUUGAGUUCAAGACCAGUCUGGCCAACAUGGUGAAACCCUGUCUUACUAAAAAACAAAAAUUAGGCCAGGUGCAGUGGCUCACACCUGUAAUCCCAGCACUCUGGGAAGCCAAGGCGGGUAGAUCACUUGAGAUCAGGAGUUCGAGACCAGCCUGGCCAACAUGGUGAAACCCCAUCUCUACUGAAAAUACAAGCUGGAUGUGGUUGCUCAGGCCUAUAGUCCCAGCUACAUGCGAGGCUGAGGCAGGAGAAUAAUUUGAACCUGGGAGGCAGAGGCUGCAGUGAGCCAAGAUUGUAUCACUGCACUCCAGCCUGGGUGACAGAGCGAGACUCCAUCUUAAAAAAAAAAAAAAAAUUAGCCGGGCGUGGUGUCGGGCACCUGUAAUCCCAGCUACUCGGGAAGCUGAGGCAGGGGAAUCACUUGAACCUGGGAGGAAGAGGUUGCAGUGAGCCAAGAUUGUGCCACUGCACUUCCACCUGGGCAACAGAGUGAGACUCUGUCUCAAAAAAUAAUAAAUAAAUAAAUAAUAUUGGCAACCAAAAUUUGCUAUCAUAUCUCAGGAACCACAUAGAUU
RNAcentral lists this long non-coding RNA (1837 nucleotides) under Homo sapiens (human). RNAcentral describes it as "HSALNT0194878". The record is from RNAcentral. Lineage: Eukaryota; Metazoa; Chordata; Mammalia; Primates; Hominidae.